RNAcentral lists this long non-coding RNA (214 nucleotides) under Ananas comosus (pineapple). RNAcentral describes it as "long non-coding RNA (ACOM_LNC018362)". The record is from RNAcentral. Lineage: Eukaryota; Viridiplantae; Streptophyta; Magnoliopsida; Poales; Bromeliaceae.
UUUUAUUUUUUAGUAUUUUUUUUGAGAAAACAAGCCGUUCCUGAGCAAAUAUAACAUGCUACUUCUCUUUCAAACAAAAGAAAAGAAAAACAAAAGAAAAGAAAAGGUUAGUACCCGAGACCCAAGUUCAAAUCCUAGUUGAUUCACAUUUCCAGUUAAGUUUAUUUCUAAGUGAAAUAAACGAAGCGGGUAACGUGCUAUCUAUCUCUCUCAA